Molecule: ribosomal RNA, 241 nt
Filed under: uncultured bacterium
Lineage: Bacteria
Description: partial 16S ribosomal RNA
Rfam family: Bacterial small subunit ribosomal RNA
Source: RNAcentral
UACGAAGGGGCUAGCGUUGCUCGGAAUCACUGGGCGUAAAGCGCACGUAGGCGGAUUGCUAAGUCAGGGGUGAAAUCCUGGAGCUCAACUCCAGAACUGCCUUUGAUACUGGCGACCUUGAGUCCGGGAGAGGUGAGUGGAACUGCGAGUGUAGAGGUGAAAUUCGUAGAUAUUCGCAAGAACACCAGUGGCGAAGGCGGACUCACUGGCCCGGUACUGACGCUGAGGUGCGAAAGCGUGG